GACGAACGCUGGCGGCGUGCUUAACACAUGCAAGUCGAGCGGUGAAGCGCCUUCCUUUUUGGUGGGUGUGGAUGAGUGGCGAACGGGUGAGUAACACGUGAGUAACCUGCCCCCUUCUUCUGGAUAACCGCAUGAAAGUGUGGCUAAUACGGGAUAUUCUGGGUCUGUCGCAUGAUGGGUCUGGGAAAGAUAUUGUUUCGGUGGGGGAUGGGCUCGCGGCCUAUCAGCUUGUUGGUGGGGUGAUGGCCUACCAAGGCGGUGACGGGUAGCCGGCCUGAGAGGGUGGACGGUCACACUGGGACUGAGACACGGCCCAGACUCCUACGGGAGGCAGCAGUGGGGAAUAUUGCACAAUGGGCGCAAGCCUGAUGCAGCGACGCCGCGUGAGGGAUGGAGGCCUUCGGGUUGUGAACCUCUUUCGCCAGUGAAGCAGGCCUGCCUCGUUUGUGGGUGGGUUGACGGUAGCUGGAUAAGAAGCGCCGGCUAACUACGUG
This 494-nucleotide ribosomal RNA is filed under the name uncultured bacterium. RNAcentral's name for it is "partial 16S ribosomal RNA". It matches the Rfam family "Bacterial small subunit ribosomal RNA", at positions 28 to 507 of the family's 1533-position model. The record is from RNAcentral.